This 253-nucleotide ribosomal RNA is filed under the name uncultured bacterium. RNAcentral describes it as "partial 16S ribosomal RNA". It matches the Rfam family "Bacterial small subunit ribosomal RNA", at positions 524 to 776 of the family's 1533-position model. The record is from RNAcentral.
UACGUAGGGGGCCAGCGUUGUCCGGAUUCAUUGGGCGUAAAGCGCGUGUAGGCGGCCAGGUAGGUCCGAUGUGAAAUCUGGAGGCUCAACCUCCAGCGGUCAUUGGAAACCAUCUGGCUAGAGUCCGGAAGAGGAGAGUGGAAUUCCUGGUGUAGCGGUGAAAUGCGCAGAUAUCAGGAAGAACACCAAUGGCGAAGGCAGCUCUCUGGGACGGUACUGACGCUGAGGCGCGAAAGCGUGGGGAGCGAACAGG